RNAcentral lists this long non-coding RNA (5153 nucleotides) under Homo sapiens (human). RNAcentral's name for it is "HSALNT0351399". Lineage: Eukaryota; Metazoa; Chordata; Mammalia; Primates; Hominidae. The record is from RNAcentral.
AGACACCCCGACUCCCCUUGAUCCCGCCGCCUGACUCCUCGGCCUGGGAGACAGGAAAAGCGGUCCUGUUUGGGAACAGUAAAAGCAGGGCAAGGAAAGGAAGGAGCGGCAGAAAGGAGGGGUGAGUCGAGGACACAGGGGCAGCCGGAGAAUGCGGAGGAGCCGGGUCCUGAGCGCGGUCUAAGCGAGGCUCGGCUCUCGUCCAGGAACUCGGACGCGGGCUCGCCGGCUCUCCGCGCGCGGGAAGUCGAGCCCAGGACGCCGCCUUCAGGCCGGCGCGCUGACCCGGUGCCCCGACCCGGAGCCUGCGGUCUGCCUGGAUCCGUCCUAAACCUCGCGGGCUGGACCCGCGGCCUGAGUGGGUGGGUGUGUGCCAGAGGAUUCGGGACUAGGCCCAGCUCCGGGAACCUGGAAAUGUGGCCCGCUUCUCAGUGGCUUCCUGUUCAUGCGCUUGGGCCUAGUGGCCUAGUUGAAGAAGUGGAACCACAGCGUGAGCCGACAGGGCCUUACAGAUCAGACGUCAAGCCCCCCAGACCUUACAGGGGAGGAAAGUGAGGCCUGCACUGGCCGAGCCACCCACUUAAGGCGGUGCGGUAGCCUAGAGGAGCGGCAGACUUCUCUUUCCCCAUCCCCCGCCCCAUCACUUGACGUUGCUGCCGGACCUCGGUACAAACCCAAGACAAAACGGGGCCCUUUGGAAAAAGUGAGAUUUAGCGAUCACUCUUACGUAGCCACUCUAAAUAUCUAUCUAGAUAUUUACAAAUGCACCUCCCCGGUAGGUAGAUUUCACUCAGAAUUUACCCAACACCGUGCUUUGUGCUGGGGCCACAUGCCACCUUUCUGUCUAGUAUGGCUGCUCUUUCUCCCUCUUCGCAAAUAUAGCUCUUUUUCCUUCAGGUCUCUUCUGAAGUAAGUAGCCCUUCCUCAGAAAUGCUUCCCUUUUCAGGCACCCUCAUACCACCGUGAUUUUUUUCUUUAUAGCACUUAGGACGAAGAGAUUAUUUUACUUAUGUACUUGUUUACUUGUUUGUUGUGUAGAAUGUCAGCUCUAUGGGAACCAGAUCCUUUUAUGGGUCUUCCUCUGCACCUAUGCCACGCCCCCAGCAUUCCCCUCCUACCACCACCUUCAGCCGGCCUCCGCCUCUGUAGGGGGGCAUUAGGUUUUCUGUCCCACAGAGGAAGGGCGCUUUAGAAAGGGUUAGUUCAUCCUGGAAGAAAAACGAUGUCGGAUGCCAGCAUAGUGUCAUUUAAAGAUACUGGAGGAAUGGAGUGGGAGCGGUGAGGGUUUCUUGGGCCUAGACAAUGUAACUAGUUGUUGCAAUAAAGCAUGGUGGGGAAAGGAGAAAAGGCACGUAUUAAACAUCUUUUGAAGUCGCUAUCUAUAUCAGUCAGUUCUCCAGGGAAACAGAACCCAUUGUGUGUGUGUGCGUGCCAGUACCACACAUAUGUAUAUGUAUAUACACACCGUCAUGGGGUUGCUUAACAACAGGGAUACAUUCUCAGACAUGUAUCUUUAGGCGAUUUCAUUGUUGUGCAAACAUCAUAUACAAACCUAGGUGGUAUAGUCUAUUAUACAUCUAGGCUGUAUGGUAUGGGCUAUUGCUCCUAGGCUGCAAACCUUUACAACAUGUUACUAUACUGAAUACUGUAGAUAAUUGUAACAAAAUGUAGUUUUAUAUCUAAACACAUCUAAACAUAGAAAAGGUAGUAUGUUGUGCUACAACUUUAGGACAGCUAUGACAUCACUAGGGGAUAGGAAUUUUUCACAUCCAUUAUAAUCUUAUGGGACACCACCAAUAUGUGACUGUGGUUGACUGAAGCAUCGUUAUCCAGCACAUGACUCUGUGUGUGUAUACAAUUUUAUAUAUACGUACAUUAUAUGUCUACACACACAUAUGUGGGGGAGAGAAAGAGAGGGAGGGAGAGAGAGAGAGAGAGAGAGAGAAAGAGAAAGAGAGAAAAUACUUAUUUUAAGGAAUUGUCUCAGAAAAUGGUGGGGGUUGACAAAUUGGAGACCCAGGGAAGAGUUGUUGUUGCAAGACUUGAAUCCAAAGGCAAUCUGGAAGCAGAAUUUCUUCUUCCUUGAGGGACCUCAGUCAUUUCUCUUAAGCUCUUCAACUGCUUGGAUGAGGACCACCCAUAUUAUUGAGGAUAAUCUGCUUUUUCAAGUCUACUGACUUAAAUGUUAAUCAUAUCUAAAAAAUACCUCCACAGCAAUAUUUAGACUGGUGUUUGACUCAAACACUGGGUACCACAGCCUAGCCAAGUUGACAUACCAAAUUAACUGUCACAUUAUCCCGUCAUGCCUGAGGGGUUCUCUGACCCUCAGUUUUCUGAGGAUCAAAUUUAAAUUGAGGGAUCUAUCUUUGUUUAUUGGAGCCAUAUAGCUCAAAGUAUAAUCAUUUUCUCUCCACAGGAACUAGACCUAGGGAUAAGGGUAAUUGCUUAUUUCAGAGGAAUGCCAUCUGAAUAAAAGGAUAAUUAUAUAGUAAGCUCUCUGUUCAAAAAAUGUAAAUAUUAAAGUUUGAACAUCUAAAUUCCAUCUUGGUUUCCCCCACUGCCGCUGCCCAAUACCUGUUCUCUUUCAGUUGCAGUAUGCAGGGGAAUUCUAAGUUUAAUAUUAGUCUCAGCAAAAUACAAUGGUGAAGAUGACUCUUUCUAGCAUAACAAUGGGUAUGUGGUAUUCCAAAUACUUUUGGAAUGCGGAGUGACUAUUGGCUAUGUGCUCUUCAAAAAAUUAAUAAUGAAGAACUGAGCAUGUAAUUUCACUUAUAUUACUUAUUUUAUCCUCACAGUGGCCUUUCAAAAUUGGGAUUAUUACUCCUGUUUUACAGGUGGAAAGAAUGAGGCCUAGAAAGGCUCAAAUCUUGAACACUUCAUGGCCAGCAAGAGCCAGGGCUGGAAUCAUCAGGCAGGCCUUUGGGUUACAAGCCUUGUGCCUUUUCUGUUGUCCCAAAGGCCAGGGUCAAUAGGGAGUGAGUUAUCUGUGGGUCACUUAUGCAGACAGAAUCACUGAAUAUUGGAAGUUUUUGGGGUUCUCUUCCACUGGCCUAAAAACCUGAGUUAAUUGAGUUUUUUUUAACAGGGGUAAAUAAUUUUCUGUUUUAGAUCAGCAAAUUCAUUCCAUAGGCAGGGAUAGGGGAGAAAAAUCUUACUGAAUAUCCCUUGUCUUGUUCUCCUCCUCCCCAAACUUAAUGUCCUAUGACACUAGCUUUAUCCCUUAGGUAACUCUUGAUUAUCCAAAUUUCAUGAGAAACUUUCCUAACAUUGCACAUGCUCAAACUCAAAACCCCAAAGUCAUAAGAAAAAAGAUAACAUAAGCAAGAAUAAAAAACAAUUAUUUGAUCAUAUAUGUCAAAAGAUUAAUUACUAGACUAUAUAAAUAAAUACAUAAUCCAGUAAAACAACAAUCCAAUAAAAAAGGCAAAGGAUAUAAUAGUUUAUAGUAGAAUAUGUGCAAAUAGUAAAAAAUAAAAAGAUAAUCUUACUCAUUAAUAAAUGUAAACAGAAACAAUGGCAUAUAACCACAAGUGUGGCAAAAAGAAAAAAGACUACUUUGACAAAGUUGUCAGGAAACAAUCACUCUUACUAUUACAACUUGGUGUAAUUGUUUUGAAAGGCAGCAUUACAAUAUCUAGUCAAAACUGUAUGAGAAUAUAGGUACCCUUUGACUCAGCUAUUCCACUAUUUUAAGUAUGUAAAGACACACACAAAUAAUGUAUGGAAAUAUAUAUACACAUAUAUACUAUAUAGUAUAUAUAGUUCAUAUGUAUGUUAUAUGUUUGUGUAUAUAUCUAUAUACUUAUAUACACCCUUUGACUCAGCAAUUCUAUUCCUAUAACUCAUGUAUGUAACAUAUAUAAUACAUAUCUUUAUAUACACAUAUGUACACACAUAUCUGUAAGUAUGGGAAGAUGUAUACACAUGUACACAUAUAUAUACAUACAUAUGUAUAUAUGUAUUUUAUGUAUGGAUACAUAUGUAUAUAUGGAUAGAUUUUACACCUACAGACACAUUUAGAUAUGUAACUUCAGCUAAAGCAAUUCACUCCUAUAUAAAUUGCUACAGAUAACUUGUAUAAGUAUGCAGAAAUGUUUCUUUAUAGCAGUGUGUAUUAGCAAACAAAGUGCAAGAAAGAGAAAAAUGAUUGACAUGCUUGUGAGGAGACUUUUUUUGUUGUUGUUGUUGUUAGGGCUCAUUCAUAAAAUAAUAAAACUGUGCAUCCAUAAACAAUAAUGAAGCACAUCUAUAUGCACUGACAAUGGAAGUUGUCAAAGAUCUAUUGCUAAUUAAAGAAAGCAAGUGACAGAAUAGUAUGAUCCCAUUCAUGUUUUCCAAAUAUGCAUGCUGGGGGAGAGAUGUUUGCAAUUAUAUGUACUUAUAUUUCUGGAAGGAUAAUUAAAUAUUUGUAAUAGUGGUUACCUUUGGGUAGUAAGAAUGAGGGUGGGAAAAAUUUCAGAUUUUUGCUUACUACUUUUUGCUUUCUGGACUGUUUGAAAGUUUACCAUGAGCAAGAAUUAUUAAAUAACAACCACAGGAAUAUUGGGGCUCAAACCUAGAGAUUCUAAUUUUGUAGACCUGGAGCUGAUCAACAAGUCUAAAUGUUAAAACAUCCUCACGGGUGAUUCUGACAUGGAGCCAGGAUUGAGAAACAAUUUUCUGAAAUGGAAGGGGUUUUAAACUUGUUGUCCUCAAAUGACUACUGAGGCAAACACCAUUCUUAUAGACAUAAGACAUACUUGGGAGCAAAUGUAUAAUAAAGUGGUAUGCUUCCCUAGAAAGGGGACGACCUUAAAUCUUUCUGUUUAUGGUGGUAUUUAAACAUAUUAAAAACUACUAAUUUUGGAAUAGUCUUACUGUGAUAAGUCUAACUAUCAAAGGCAGUCCAGAGAUUAGCAAAUAAUAGAGGAUGAUCAAAUGUUUUUCAGAAAAUAUUAUAGGUGGCACUUUGGCAGGAGAUUCUGAGAAUGGUGAGAGGGUGCCUCUGUGCCCUAGGAAAGGUGAUAGAGCUUAGAAACUCAGAACUCAGAUGGAAUGAGGAGCCAUGCCAUAUACAUCUUUACAACAGUCACCCUCUAGAAGAAAACUCUGUGUUGACAAUAAUCUGCUGACUUGUCUGUGGGUUUUUGAACAGAAUAAACUGUUUCUUCUUU